This 468-nucleotide ribosomal RNA is filed under the name uncultured bacterium. RNAcentral's name for it is "partial 16S ribosomal RNA". It matches the Rfam family "Bacterial small subunit ribosomal RNA", at positions 28 to 507 of the family's 1533-position model. The record is from RNAcentral.
GACGAACGCUGGCGGCGUGCUUAACACAUGCAAGUCGAACGGAAAGGCCCUGCUUUUGUGGGGUGCUCGAGUGGCGAACGGGUGAGUAACACGUGAGUAACCUGCCCUUGACUUUGGUAUAACUUCAGGAAACUGGGGCUAAUACCGGAUAGGAGCUCCUGCUGCAUGGUGGGGGUUGGAAAGUUUCGGCGGUUGGGGAUGGACUCGCGGCUUAUCAGCUUGUUGGUGGGGUAGUGGCUUACCAAGGCUUUGACGGGUAGCCGGCCUGGGAGGGUGACCGGCCACAUUGGGACUAAGAUACGGCGCAGACUCCUACGGGAGGCAGAAGUGGGGAAUAUUGCACAAUGGGCGGAAGCCUGAUGCAGCAACGCCGCGUGCGGGAUGACGGCCUUCGGGUUGUAAACCGCUUUCGCCUGUGACGAAGCGUGAGUGACGGUAAUGGGUAAAGAAGCACCGGCUAACUACGUG